This 1059-nucleotide ribosomal RNA is filed under the name Escherichia coli. RNAcentral describes it as "partial 23S ribosomal RNA". It matches the Rfam family "Bacterial large subunit ribosomal RNA", at positions 170 to 1269 of the family's 2925-position model. Lineage: Bacteria; Pseudomonadati; Pseudomonadota; Gammaproteobacteria; Enterobacterales; Enterobacteriaceae. The record is from RNAcentral. RNAcentral also lists the same sequence under 1 other name.
GUUAAUGAGGCGAACCGGGGGAACUGAAACAUCUAAGUACCCCGAGGAAAAGAAAUCAACCGAGAUUCCCCCAGUAGCGGCGAGCGAACGGGGAGGAGCCCAGAGCCUGAAUCAGUGUGUGUGUUAGUGGAAGCGUCUGGAAAGGCGCGCGAUACAGGGUGACAGCCCCGUACACAAAAAUGCACAUACUGUGAGCUCGAUGAGUAGGGCGGGACACGUGGUAUCCUGUCUGAAUAUGGGGGGACCAUCCUCCAAGGCUAAAUACUCCUGACUGACCGAUAGUGAACCAGUACCGUGAGGGAAAGGCGAAAAGAACCCCGGCGAGGGGAGUGAAAAAGAACCUGAAACCGUGUACGUACAAGCAGUGGGAGCCUCUUAAUGGGGUGACUGCGUACCUUUUGUAUAAUGGGUCAGCGACUUAUAUUCUGUAGCAAGGUUAACCGAAUAGGGGAGCCGAAGGGAAACCGAGUCUUAACUGGGCGUUAAGUUGCAGGGUAUAGACCCGAAACCCGGUGAUCUAGCCAUGGGCAGGUUGAAGGUUGGGUAACACUAACUGGAGGACCGAACCGACUAAUGUUGAAAAAUUAGCGGAUGACUUGUGGCUGGGGGUGAAAGGCCAAUCAAACCGGGAGAUAGCUGGUUCUCCCCGAAAGCUAUUUAGGUAGCGCCUCGUGAAUUCAUCUCCGGGGGUAGAGCACUGUUUCGGCAAGGGGGUCAUCCCGACUUACCAACCCGAUGCAAACUGCGAAUACCGGAGAAUGUUAUCACGGGAGACACACGGCGGGUGCUAACGUCCGUCGUGAAGAGGGAAACAACCCAGACCGCCAGCUAAGGUCCCAAAGUCAUGGUUAAGUGGGAAACGAUGUGGGAAGGCCCAGACAGCCAGGAUGUUGGCUUAGAAGCAGCCAUCAUUUAAAGAAAGCGUAAUAGCUCACUGGUCGAGUCGGCCUGCGCGGAAGAUGUAACGGGGCUAAACCAUGCACCGAAGCUGCGGCAGCGACACUAUGUGUUGUUGGGUAGGGGAGCGUUCUGUAAGCCUGUGAAGGUGUACUGUGAGGU